Molecule: ribosomal RNA, 236 nt
Filed under: uncultured Aeromonas sp.
Lineage: Bacteria; Pseudomonadati; Pseudomonadota; Gammaproteobacteria; Aeromonadales; Aeromonadaceae
Description: partial 16S ribosomal RNA
Rfam family: Bacterial small subunit ribosomal RNA
Source: RNAcentral
UCUAGAGAUUACUCCUACGGGAGGCAGCAGUGGGGAAUAUUGGACAAUGGGUCGACGAUUAAUCUCUAGAGCGAAAGCCUGAUCCAGCCAUGCCGUGUGUGUGAAGAAGGCCUUCGGGUUGUAAAGCACUUUCAGCGAGGAGGAAAGGUCAGUAGCUAUAUCUACUGGCUGUGACGUUACUCGCAGAAGAAGCACCGGCUAACUCCGUGCCAGCAGCCGCGGUAAUAAUCGUCGAC